GGGCAGGUAUGAAGAUAUGUUCGAUGAAGACGACGUUAGCAAGGUUACCCUUCCGGCUUGGCCUGGGCAGGGUUAUGGACGCCACUGGUUAUCUUCAGGACUCUUAGUCCAAUUUGUAUCUUGUCCGUACUCGGACGUAAUCGAUCUUCUGUAUGAUUUGGAUCUUUGUAUUGUCUAUUUGUAUCUUGACUCGUCGGAGUCGUUGUUGUAAUAUAUGUUUCUUGUGGGCUCUA
Lolium perenne is the source of this 233-nucleotide non-coding RNA. Lineage: Eukaryota; Viridiplantae; Streptophyta; Magnoliopsida; Poales; Poaceae. The record is from RefSeq and is a predicted model, not a curated record.